This 550-nucleotide ribosomal RNA is filed under the name uncultured bacterium. RNAcentral's name for it is "bacterial SSU rRNA". It matches the Rfam family "Bacterial small subunit ribosomal RNA", at positions 355 to 896 of the family's 1533-position model. The record is from RNAcentral.
UAGGGAAUCUUCGGCAAUGGACGGAAGUCUGACCGAGCAACGCCGCGUGAGUGAAGAAGGUUUUCGGAUCGUAAAGCUCUGUUGUAAGAGAAGAACGAGUGUGAGAGUGGAAAGUUCACACUGUGACGGUAUCUUACCAGAAAGGGACGGCUAACUACGUGCCAGCAGCCGCGGUAAUACGUAGGUCCCGAGCGUUGUCCGGAUUUAUUGGGCGUAAAGCGAGCGCAGGCGGUUAGAUAAGUCUGAAGUUAAGGGCUGUGGCUUAACCAUAGUAGGCUUUGGAAACUGUUUAACUUGAGUGCAAGAGGGGAGAGUGGAAUUCCAUGUGUAGCGGUGAAAUGCGUAGAUAUAUGGAGGAACACCGGUGGCGAAAGCGGCUCUCUGGCUUGUAACUGACGCUGAGGCUCGAAAGCGUGGGGAGCAAACAGGAUUAGAUACCCUGGUAGUCCACGCUGUAAACGAUGAGUGCUAGGUGUUAGACCCUUUCCGGGGUUUAGUGCCGUAGCUAACGCAUUGAGCACUCCGCCUGGGGAGUACGACCGCAAGGUUG